This 31-nucleotide non-coding RNA is filed under the name Rattus norvegicus (Norway rat). Lineage: Eukaryota; Metazoa; Chordata; Mammalia; Rodentia; Muridae. The record is from RNAcentral.
UAGACUCCCACAUCAGGGACCCUGGAUUCAA